CCCUGAGUCACUACAGUAUCCACCCUGAGUCACUACAGUAUCCACCCUGAGUCACUACAGUAUCCACCCUGAGUCACUACAGUAUCCACUGAGUCAUUACAGUAUCCACUGAGUCACUACAGUAUCCACUCUGAGUCACUACAACAGUGUAACUUCAUAGGAACCCAGACCCAACACCUAAAGAAACUUCAGUAUUUUAAGAUUUGGUUUUUCGUCAAUAUUUAAUGACAAUGUCUGUGAAAGGCAGCGCUUGCAAGGUGUGUUCGGUUUUAACUUGGCCUUCGACCUCUGAUAUAGAACAAGCAUUUUGAGUGAACCCACUGUCGUAUUCUUUUUUUUUCUGAUUGCUUUGGGACCUGUCUGUUAGCUUUGGCAGUUGGAAUGAGUCUCAAGUCUCCACAACAUAAUGUAAACAUACAACUUCCUGGCAUCAUAGAAGGGGAGCAAUCAGCCCGUAAGCCAAUCAGACUCUGUGGUCAGCUAGGGUUAUCUUUUAGAAGGAAAAGAGGCUCUUCCCUUUAUCAAAGUACCUUUCCACAGACUGUAUUUUUGCUGUUCAUCUACUGGUUGAACAGAAGAAGAAAAACGGAUAAUCAGGCCAUUUCGGCAUAGACGUGCAAAUUGGAGUUGUGUGUGUGUGUGGGGGCACAACACAAUGAUUCAGCAUCUACUGUCCCUGAAAUAUCCCAAAGUGCACAGAGAGGUAGAAAUGAUUUCCUGCUGAAAAAGCCAUCCUGUCAUCACUCCUACACUUCCCUCAACGGCACAGGAUCUAGAGGUUCAUCUUGUUUUCGGAGGCUCUGAUAUUUCUAUCCGUAUAUCAUGGGUAGAAGAUGAAGAAAUAGACCCAGUCUGUUUGUUAAACCCAACGGUUGUGGGAUCAUUUUACUCUCAUAUCCUCGUGUUACACCACUUUGUUUUCUACAGGAAAUUAAAUAUUCUGGCAACCAUUUUACAAAGAACACGUAGUCGACUCCUUUUACAUGCUAAAAGUUCCUAAAUGAUCGGUGUAAAAAGAGUAUUGAUAAGGGACUUAAAAUUAGUAUUUUAUGCCUGGCAGUUUAUUAUGCUUGGGGCUUUAUAUCAUGUUUUACAGAAUGGAAACCCUUGGCCAAAAGAUGUGGUGUACUUAGGCUGACCUUUCAACCUUUCAAUCAUCAAGGGUUCACCAUCAUCAAACUGCCAAGUUGUGAAUGUGUCGACUUUGCAGGACGCUGAGAACUACUUUCACGGAUUCCUCCGGUACUGCUGCUCAUCCCGUUCACCAGCUCAGGAGGUCUAUGUCACCGUACUUCUACGCGUCACUGAACUGGACUCAUUACCACCAACCCCGGACUGUCUUGUCUCAUUACACACACCUGGUUCCCAUUCCCCCUAGUAUGUGUAUAUAUGUGCCGUCUGUUCCACAUUGUCCUUGUUGGUUAUUGUUCCAUGUUCGUUGGUCUUGUACCUGUGCUCUGUUGUAUCAGCUUGCAUGUUACCGUGUUAGUGUGCACUACUUAUUACGGGUCUCGUCCCGUGUAUUGUUAUUACGG
This is a long non-coding RNA of Oncorhynchus tshawytscha (Chinook salmon), 1535 nucleotides long. The record is from Ensembl. NCBI's taxonomy places the organism in Eukaryota, Metazoa, Chordata, Actinopteri, Salmoniformes, Salmonidae.